GACGAACGCUGGCGGCGUGCUUAACAUAUGCAAGUCGAGCGGUAAGGCCCUUUCGGGGGUACACGAGCGGCGAACGGGUGAGUAACACGUGGGUGACCUGCCCUCAGCUCUGGGAUAAGCCUGGGAAACCGGGUCUAAUACUGGAUAUGACUCCAUGACGCAUGUUGUGGGGUGGAAAGCCUUGUGCGGCUGAGGAUGGGCCCGCGGCCUAUCAGCUUGUUGGGGGGUGAUGGCCUACCAAGGCGACGACGGGUAGCCGGCCUGAGAGGGCGACCGGCCACACUGGGACUGAGACACGGCCCAGACUCCUACGGGAGGCAGCAGUGGGGAAUCUUGCGCAAUGGGCGAAAGCCUGACGCAGCGACGCCGCGUGAGGGAUGACGGCCU
RNAcentral lists this ribosomal RNA (387 nucleotides) under uncultured bacterium. RNAcentral describes it as "bacterial SSU rRNA". It matches the Rfam family "Bacterial small subunit ribosomal RNA", at positions 28 to 417 of the family's 1533-position model. The record is from RNAcentral.